Small nucleolar RNA from Coffea eugenioides, 111 nucleotides. RefSeq annotates it as small nucleolar RNA Z103. The transcript has a single exon. The record is from RefSeq and is a predicted model, not a curated record. NCBI's taxonomy places the organism in Eukaryota, Viridiplantae, Streptophyta, Magnoliopsida, Gentianales, Rubiaceae.
AUGGAAGUGAUGAUUUUUUCCCCAGAUGAUCGAAACUGAAAUUACCGAGCGCUUUAUUUGUGUUUUCUCCAGUUUUCUGGAGAUAAUCCAAGCCAGAUUUGUCUGAUCCAU